CAGGCUUAACACAUGCAAGUCGAGGGGCAGCAUGGUCUUAGCUUGCUAAGGCCGAUGGCGACCGGCGCACGGGUGAGUAACACGUAUCCAACCUGCCGUCUACUCUUGGACAGCCUUCUGAAAGGAAGAUUAAUACAAGAUGGCAUCAUGAGUCCGCAUGUUCACAUGAUUAAAGGUAUUCCGGUAGACGAUGGGGAUGCGUUCCAUUAGAUAGUAGGCGGGGUAACGGCCCACCUAGUCUUCGAUGGAUAGGGGUUCUGAGAGGAAGGUCCCCCACAUUGGAACUGAGACACGGUCCAAACUCCUACGGGAGGCAGCAGUGAGGAAUAUUGGUCAAUGGGCGAGAGCCUGAACCAGCCAAGUAGCGUGAAGGAUGACUGCCCUAUGGGUUGUAAACUUCUUUUAUAAAGGAAUAAAGUCGGGUAUGGAUACCCGUUUGCAUGUACUUUAUGAAUAAGGAUCGGCUAACUCCGUGCCAGCAGCCGCGGUAAUACGGAGGAUCCGAGCGUUAUCCGGAUUUAUUGGGUUUAAAGGGAGCGUAGAUGGAUGUUUAAGUCAGUUGUGAAAGUUUGCGGCUCAACCGUAAAAUUGCAGUUGAUACUGGAUAUCUUGAGUGCAGUUGAGGCAGGCGGAAUUCGUGGUGUAGCGGUGAAAUGCUUAGAUAUCACGAAGAACUCCGAUUGCGAAGGCAGCCUGCUAAGCUGCAACUGACAUUGAGGCUCGAAAGUGUGGGUAUCAAACAGGAUUAGAUACCCUGGUAGUCCACACGGUAAACGAUGAAUACUCGCUGUUUGCGAUAUACUGCAAGCGGCCAAGCGAAAGCGUUAAGUAUUCCACCUGGGGAGUACGCCGGCAACGGUGAAACUCAAAGGAAUUGACGGGGGCCCGCACAAGCGGAGGAACAUGUGGUUUAAUUCGAUGAUACGAGAGGAACCUUACCCGGGCUUAAAUUGCAGAUGAAUUACGGUGAAAGCCGUAAGCCGCAAGGCAUCUGUGAAGGUGCUGCAUGGUUGUCGUCAGCUCGUGCCGUGAGGUGUCGGCUUAAGUGCCAUAACGAGCGCAACCCUUGUUGUCAGUUACUAACAGGUUCCGCUGAGGACUCUGACAAGACUGCCAUCGUAAGAUGUGAGGAAGGUGGGGAUGACGUCAAAUCAGCACGGCCCUUACGUCCGGGGCUACACACGUGUUACAAUGGGGGGUACAGAGGGCCGCUACCACGCGAGUGGAUGCCAAUCCCCAAAACCUCUCUCAGUUCGGACUGGAGUCUGCAACCCGACUCCACGAAGCUGGAUUCGCUAGUAAUCGCGCAUCAGCCACGGCGCGGUGAAUACGUUCCCGGGCCUUGUACACACCGCCCGUCAAGCCAUGGGAGCCGGGGGUACCUGAAGUGCGUAACCGCGAGGAGCGCCCUAGGGUAAAACUGGUGACUGGGGCUA
Molecule: ribosomal RNA, 1436 nt
Filed under: uncultured organism
Description: 16S ribosomal RNA
Rfam family: Bacterial small subunit ribosomal RNA
Source: RNAcentral